GUGCUGGACUUAUCAGUGCAUAUACAAAAACCUAAAUAACAGAGAAGAUGAGCAAAGCCCCUUAUGCAAGGAUGGCAUGCAAAUUUAUGAAGUGUUCACUCUAUAU
Meriones unguiculatus (Mongolian gerbil) is the source of this 106-nucleotide small nuclear RNA. The record is from Ensembl. Lineage: Eukaryota; Metazoa; Chordata; Mammalia; Rodentia; Muridae.